Molecule: ribosomal RNA, 898 nt
Filed under: Claxtonia wendti
Lineage: Eukaryota; Metazoa; Tardigrada; Heterotardigrada; Echiniscoidea; Echiniscidae
Description: SSU rRNA
Rfam family: Eukaryotic small subunit ribosomal RNA
Source: RNAcentral
GAUAACUGUGGUAAUUCUAGAGCUAAUACAUGCAGCAAGCCUUGACCCUCACGGGCAAGGCGCAGUUAUUAGAUCAAAAACCAAUCGGUUGUACUUUCGGGUAUAGCCGUUACUUUGGUGACUCUGAGUAACCACAGCGAACCGUAUGGCCUCGUGCUCGACGGUCUGUCAGUCAAGCAACUGCCUUAUCAGCUUGUUGUUAGAUUAUAUGCCUAACAAGGCUUCAACGGGUAACGAACGAUCGGGGUCGGAUAUCGGAGAGGGAGCUUGAGAAACGGCUACCACUUCCAAGGAAGGCAGCAGGCGCGCAAAUUACCCACUCUCGGCAUGAGGAGGUAGCAAUAAAAUGUAUCGAUGCGGGGCCUUUAGUGCCUUCGUAAUCGGAAUGAGUACACUUUAAAUCCUAUAACAAGGACCUAUUGGAGGGCAAGUCUGGUGCCAGCAGCCGCGGUAAUUCCAGCUCCAAUAGCGUAUAUUAAUGCUGCUGCGGUUAAAAAGCUCGUAGUCGGAUCUGGGUUACCGGCGGGUACCGCAUGUCGCUUCAUGCAGCAUGUUGUGUACUAUACGUGUCGCUUCGGUGGCACUGCCAGUGUAAUGCUGUCUCAUGUAGGCACGUUAUGCUGGUCGCCGGAACCACGGGCCGGGUUGAGCAGCAUGCUCUUAAUUGAGUGUGUUGUUUACUCGGUGCGUUUACUUUGAAAAAAUUGGAGUGCUCAAAGCAAGCGUACAGUCGCUAUGCGGCUUGAACAGUGGUGCAUGGAAUAAUGGAAUAGGGCCUCGGUUCUAUUUUGUUGGUUUUAAGAUAUCGAGGUAAUGAUUAAGAGGGACAGACGGGGACGUUUGUAUUGCGACGUUAGAGGUGAAAUUCUUGGAUCGUCGCAAGACACACUAAUGCGAA